GUGGGGAAUAUUGCGCAAUGGGGGGAACCCUGACGCAGCAACGCCGCGUGAAGGAAGAAGGUUUUCGGAUCGUAAACUUUUGUCUUGAGGGACGAAACAGACGGUACCUCAGGAGGAAGCCACGGCUAACUACGUGCCAGCAGCCGCGGUAAUACGUAGGUGGCAAGCGUUGUCCGGAUUUACUGGGUGUAAAGGGCGUGUAGACGGGUCUGUAAGUCAGAUGUGAAAUGCCGGGGCUUAACCCCGGAGCUGCAUUUGAAACUAUGGAUCUUGAGUGCGGGAGAGGUAGGCGGAAUUCCUAGUGUAGCGGUGAAAUGCGUAGAUAUUAGGAGGAACACCAGUGGCGAAGGCGGCCUACUGGACCGUAACUGACGUUGAGGCGCGAAAGCGUGGGGAGCAAACAGGA
RNAcentral lists this ribosomal RNA (406 nucleotides) under uncultured bacterium. RNAcentral describes it as "bacterial SSU rRNA". It matches the Rfam family "Bacterial small subunit ribosomal RNA", at positions 354 to 777 of the family's 1533-position model. The record is from RNAcentral.